AUGCCUGCAAUUAGAGGAGAGGAAGCUGGUAGUUUUAUCUAUAUUAUUCAAGAAUAAUAAUCAAAUAACUUGAUGGUGAUGACUGUACUUGUGAGGCUCAGACACUAAAUAUAUUAUAUAUAAGAUGUUUUACUGUAAAUUUACAGAGGGAAGCUGAUGCACAGGCAUUGUGUCAAUGCCGCUGUUUUCUUCAUUUGCCUAUUAUCUCUUGUUAUAUACCAGACAGCGUCUGUGCAGCCCACCAGCUUCUAGCCCAGUGGUCGUGGAUUCGUUCCAGCUGCCCUCCUCUCCGGAUUAUUGGUGGAAGACUGGUACCGUGACAGGAACCAAUAAGACAGAGACACUGCAGGGCAUGUAGAGGUUCCUACCUGAGUGAAUUCCUGUGAUGAAGCGACCGAGCAUGAUCAUCUCAGCCUGCUUCACAGGACUGGAUGACUACAGACCCCCUCUUGGACCCCCUGCAGUUUGCCUACAGAACCAACAGAUCGGGGGACGAUGCUGUAAAUAUGGCCCUCAACUUCAUCCUCCUUCAUGUUGUGGGAUUAGUGUGUUUGACAGUGGAAGUUGGUGGAUUUCAGUGGAUGACAUGAGAAAACAAGGCGCCACAAGCAGAAGAUCGGACACACCAAUCACACACACUCUUCACCCUCCUGCCAUCUAGAAAAAGGUGCCGGAGCAUUUGGGCACUCACAUCCAGACUGUGGAACAGCUUCUUUCGACAAGCCAUCGUCUCCUCAAUGAAAAGGGACUGGACUGACAAACAUACACACGCAUGCACGCACACAUAUAUGUGGGGACUACAUCAUCACAACAAAAGUAUUAAAACGUGUCACUUUUUUUGUUGUCAUUCUGUAGCUCGUCUGUACAUUUGCACGGGCACUUUAUGUUGUCUCUUGUCUCCUUUUUGACCUUCUGUAUAGUAAUGUAAAUGUUCUAAAUCUAUGUUGUAAUUUAUGUUGCAUGUGCAUAGCACCUUCAUCCUGGAGGAACAUUGUUUCAUUUCACUGUACUGAACUGAAAAUAAAGGCUUGACUUGACUUGACCUCUAUCCGUAGUCUUUCUAUGAAAAAAAAACAGCUGUUUUGGAGUAUUUGUCAGUAAAGUAUUAAGGUUUUCGGGGAGUGUUAUGGGAAAAGUCGUUUCUUCCUUAUCAUUAUAUGAUUUAUGACUUACUGUAUGCCCUGCAAUUAAUAUCUCAUGUUUUGUCUUACUUCUGUUUUAGGUAUUUGACAUUUCACCUAGACUGUUCAAUGCUUGUCUCUGCCUGACAGACUCUGGACUCUAGCUCCCAAACCCAAGGCCGGGGAGUUGUGUCUCUCUGUCUAUUGAGACUUAGGGCUCUUUCCUCUCUAAUAGUCAGACGCCAGUGAUGCAGGUGUGAGAAUGUAAACAUCUCCACACACGGCGACAGGGAUGAGAUGGUGCAUCAGUCUGAUUGGGCUACACUGACGUUUCACCGUAGUCGGACAGAGUGGUUAAAAGGUAGAAGCAACCUGAGGGUCGUGGGCUCUUUGCAUCACACCUUCGUGGUGUGUGCACUGAUCUUCAAGCUGUUUUUUGGUUUGUUGUUGUGCACGAUCAACAUCCAUGCUUUUGAUUUGUUUCCCUAUUAUUUUUCAUUUUCCUUUAUUUUUAUAAUAAAUCUCACAAAAGACAA
Betta splendens (Siamese fighting fish) is the source of this 1657-nucleotide long non-coding RNA. RefSeq lists it as uncharacterized. Lineage: Eukaryota; Metazoa; Chordata; Actinopteri; Anabantiformes; Osphronemidae. The transcript has 3 exons. The record is from RefSeq and is a predicted model, not a curated record.